UCCGAGUUGUCCCCGGCAGUCUCCUAUGAAUCCCCGGCUUGAACCGCUGGCAACAUAGGACAAGGGUUGCGCUCGUUGCGGGACUUAACCCAACAUCUCACGACACGAGCUGACGACAGCCAUGCAACACCUGUGUAGGGCCCUUGCGGACACCGUGUCUCCACGGCUUUUCCCUACAUGUCAAGCCUUGGUAAGGUGGGGAUGACGUGGGGAAUGUCGAUA
RNAcentral lists this unclassified non-coding RNA (222 nucleotides) under uncultured bacterium. Its description in RNAcentral is "contains 16S-23S intergenic spacer region". The record is from RNAcentral.